Molecule: unclassified non-coding RNA, 232 nt
Filed under: Hevea brasiliensis (rubber tree)
Lineage: Eukaryota; Viridiplantae; Streptophyta; Magnoliopsida; Malpighiales; Euphorbiaceae
Source: RNAcentral
GCCCAAGUCCUCAUUGAUGUUUAAUGAUCUGCACUGGAAUCUUGAGCCCGAACUGCUGUCAAACAUCUCACCAUCUUCAAUCAUGAAGUACGACUGCCCCAAGCGGACAAGCUCCAUCGUAAUGUAUAGAGAAAUCGGUAUCAUGAUUUGGAAGACUAUUACCGAGCUCAAAAAUGAGAAAAAGAUCUCCAACGGGAUCCCAUAAAAUUUGUAAAGCUUUCCUCUAUCCGGG